This 1435-nucleotide long non-coding RNA is filed under the name Homo sapiens (human). Its description in RNAcentral is "HSALNT0369791". Lineage: Eukaryota; Metazoa; Chordata; Mammalia; Primates; Hominidae. The record is from RNAcentral.
CUCUCUCUUCCUGCUCUGCUACGGUAAGACGUGCUUUGCUUUCCCUUUGCCUUCCGCCAUGAUUCUAAGUUUCCUGAGGCCUCCCCAGCCAUGCAGAACUAUGGAGUCUAGCUUUGUCGCCAGGCUGGAGUGCAGUGGCGUGAUCUCAGCUCACUGCAACCUCCGCCUCUCGGGUUCAAGCGAUCCUGCCUCAGCCUCCCAAGUAGCUAGGAUUUCAGGUUCAUGCCUCCGUGCCUGGCUAAUUUUAGUAUUUUUAGGAGAGAGAUUUCACCAUAUUGGCCAGGAUGAUCUCAAUCUCCUGACCUCAAGUGAUCCACCCACCUCAGCCUCCCAAAGUGCUAGGACUACAGGCGUGAGCCACCGCGCCCAGCCUUACUAACCCCUCAUUCUAAAGGUAAAUGCCUUCUCGCUGUGUCCUCAUAUGGUGGAGAGUGAGACUUCAUCUAAAAAGAAAAAAAAAAACCCACUCCGGACAUAGUGACUGUAGCUGGGUCUUGGACUGCAAGAAGACCAUCCUGGUGAGAAGAUCUUGACCACAGGGUCUAACUGUGGCCCAGGCUGGAAUGCUGCGGCAUCAUUACAGCUCACUGCAGCUUCGACCUCCCCAGCUCAAGUGAUCCUCCUGCCUCAGCCUCCCGACUAGCUGGGACCACAGUGAGCACAGGGAGGAGGAGGUGCAUGCAAGCGAUACUGCAGGGCCAGAAUCAGAAUCAUCAGCACGUAGCAACUGAUUGGAUUUCUGGAGCAAGAAAGAAGAGUUGAAGAUAAUGUUGAACUUUCUCAUUGGGAGAUUUUACUAACAUUAUUGAGCAAUUACUGCAUGAUGGAUGUUACGCUAAGAGCAUUCUACAAUUAUUAUACCUCUUACGUCUCCCAGUAGUUCUGUUAAGCACUGAAUACUGUGGAUACAAAGAGCCCAGAGUCAUCAAGAGGAACCAGGAACUCUAACAUGAUGUGUGGAGCAGGCUAUGCAAAGAGGGGUACCUCUCCCAGUCAGAGGCAUCAGAGAAGGCUUCCUGGUGGAGAACGUGUGUGAUGGACUUAUGGACUCAUUCACUGCAUCGAUCUUGGGCACUGCCCAGCUUCAUGUUCCACUCUCCCGUUUAUCCCAAAUUGCUGAGGAUUUCCUAAGAACCAUCACUUUCCAGAGCUCAUUAUUUUCUGUUAUUUGCCUCAGCAGCACAAGCUGUUUUCACAAAGAAAUAAAGGGUCUUCUAUUCCAGAAGAGUUCUUCUAUGCAUGUAGGUGAGCAGACAGUGCAGAGCCAUGCUGAGGUGUGUGUGCCUUGCUGUCACUGUCUCUCCUCCGGGAGGAACACUAGGCUCCUGUACACCAGGCUUCCCACAGCCCAGGAGGAACACAUCCACGCCUUGCCAGUCAUUUGCAUCUUAGUAAGACUAAAACUAAUAAAACUAACAAUAAAACUUAAAAUAGA